AGAGUUUGAUCCUGGCUCAGGAUGAACGCUGGCGGCGUGCCUAAUACAUGCAAGUCGAGCGAACAGAUAAGGAGCUUGCUCCUUUGAAGUUAGCGGCGGACGGGUGAGUAACACGUGGGUAACCUACCUAUAAGACUGGGAUAACUUCGGGAAACCGGAGCUAAUACCGGAUAACAUUUAGAACCGCAUGGUUCUAAAGUGAAAGAUGGUUUUGCUAUCACUUAUAGAUGGACCCGCGCCGUAUUAGCUAGUUGGUAAGGUAACGGCUUACCAAGGCGACGAUACGUAGCCGACCUGAGAGGGUGAUCGGCCACACUGGAACUGAGACACGGUCCAAACUCCUACGGGAGGCAGCAGUAGGGAAUCUUCCGCAAUGGGCGAAAGCCUGACGGAGCAACGCCGCGUGAGUGAUGAAGGGUUUCGGCUCGUAAAACUCUGUUAUUAGGGAAGAACAAAUGUGUAAGUAACUGUGCACAUCUUGACGGUACCUAAUCAGAAAGCCACGGCUAACUACGUG
RNAcentral lists this ribosomal RNA (517 nucleotides) under uncultured Staphylococcus sp. RNAcentral describes it as "bacterial SSU rRNA". It matches the Rfam family "Bacterial small subunit ribosomal RNA", at positions 8 to 507 of the family's 1533-position model. Lineage: Bacteria; Bacillati; Bacillota; Bacilli; Caryophanales; Staphylococcaceae. The record is from RNAcentral.